UACGGAGACUACGAGCGUUACUCGGAUUCACUGGGCGUAAAGGGAGCGCAGGCGGAAUGAUGUGUUAGGUGUGAAAUCCCGGGGCUUAACUCCGGAAUUGCGCCUAAAACUGUCAUUCUAGAGACUUGGAGAGGUAAGCGGAAUUUCCAGUGUAGCGGUAAAAUGCGUAGAUAUUGGAAGGAACACCGAUGGCGAAGGCAGCUUACUGGACAAGAUCUGACGCUCAUGCUCGAAAGCGUGGGGAGCAAAAGGG
This 253-nucleotide ribosomal RNA is filed under the name uncultured bacterium. RNAcentral describes it as "partial 16S ribosomal RNA". It matches the Rfam family "Bacterial small subunit ribosomal RNA", at positions 524 to 776 of the family's 1533-position model. The record is from RNAcentral.